Molecule: long non-coding RNA, 1722 nt
Filed under: Sus scrofa (pig)
Lineage: Eukaryota; Metazoa; Chordata; Mammalia; Artiodactyla; Suidae
Description: lncRNA (ENSSSCG00015062836.1)
Source: RNAcentral
ACCAACUACUACUUUUAUAAGAAGCAAAUCUAGGAUAAAAGGAACAUACCUAAGAUAAUAAAGUCCUUUCCCAUAUUAUGUCCUGAAAUUCUAAGUCUACAACUAACCCCACCUACUAAAUUGUAAUACAGAGCAAUCUUUACAUAAGAAGAAUCUACUUAUAAGAAUGUCGCUCCUGCAGGUUUUUGGUUGUAGUUCAGACAAAAAUCAAGUGAUUUACAAAAAGAAUGCCUAAGUGAAGUUUAAGACUGUUACGCCAAUUCCUAGGACAAACUGGUGGAAUACAAACUGGUGAAAAGCUGGAAAUUUUGAAAAAAAUAUUCAAAUUGUGGGACUUUUUUAAAAAAGGUCAAAUAAUGAAACUUCAUUGGUUUAUUCACUUAACACCUAUGUGUGAGGUUCUGAAAAAUGGUAAAAUAUAGAACCAGUCCCAGCCUUCACAGAUUCAAGAGUUUGGUAGGAAAGACAAAAACAAUACUAGUACCAUGCAGUAAAUGCUGUGAAGAGCAAACUUCAGAGUGUUAUAUAAUCAUAUAGUGGUAUGCUUAGGUAUGAAGGGGUUUCAGAAAGGUGAAAUGACCUACUUGUUGUGACCUGAAGGAUCAGAAAGUAAGGGUAUUCAGCAGUUACAGAAUAUCCAAAGGCAAGAAACAAGAGGAAGUGGCAAGAGAUGAAGACGUAAGCAAAAUCAAGAUCAGAGGGUUCUGUAUCAUAAGGAGUUUGAACUUAAAAGCAAUGAGCAGAACACAACUUAAUGUUUUGAGUGUGGAACUGCUAGGAUUACUCUAGAAGUAACAAAGUUGAUUGGCGGAAGACACUAAGGAGAGCAUCAAUUAUUCAGUUAAGAAACAAUAGCAGGGGGAAUGGAAUAGUCACAUACUUAAGUAGAAUUUUCUGGAUGUUUUUCUAGAUUGAAUGUUGAGAACAUGAGAAGAAUAAAAAGUGAGGGAUGAUAUCCAAGUUUCUGACCCGGGAAACUGGUUAGAUGACACACAUUAAUUGAUAAAGAGUACUCUCAGGAGAAAGAGGGUCUGCAGUGAAAUACUUGUAAGGUAAUAAGGUGAAGAUUUCCUUUAAAUUUGGGCCUCUUGCGAAGUCUGCACUAUAAACAGGAAAUUAAGGGCCCAUCAGUAUAUGUGUUAAGUGAAGCUGCUGGAGGACAAGUCAUAAAAAGAAAGGGGCAAAGAGGAGUUCCCGUUGUGGUGCAGCGAAAACAAAUCCAACUAAGAACCAUGAGGUUGGGGGUUCGAUCCCUGGCCUUGCUCAGUGGGUUAAGGAUCCAGCAUUGCUGUGGCUGUGGUGUAGGCCGGCAGCAACAGCUCAGGAUUAGAUCCGAGCCUGGGAACCUCCAUGUGUCUCGGGUACCACCCUAAAAGUUAGACAAAGGGGGGGGGGCAGGCAGAGAAAUGAGCCUGGAAAGAAGACCAAAAAUAAUCAGCAAGGGAGGUAUCAAGAAGUUUAAAAAAGCAAGGAAAAUCAGGAAAAUGUAGUGUCUCAGAAGCCAAAGGAAAAAUUACAAAAUUAACAGAAGAUGAUGUCAAAUAUUGCAAAGAAUCAAGUAAGAAAAAGACUGAAAGGUGUUCACUGGACUUAAUUAUGUAAGAAUAUCACUGGUGAUCCUGGAGUUCCCACUGUGGCUCAGUGGGUUAAGAAUCAGACUAGUACCCAUGAGGAUGUGGGUUCGACUCUGGCCCCUGCUCAGUGGGUUAAGGAUUCAGUGUU